This 245-nucleotide ribosomal RNA is filed under the name uncultured bacterium. RNAcentral's name for it is "partial small subunit ribosomal RNA". It matches the Rfam family "Bacterial small subunit ribosomal RNA", at positions 26 to 285 of the family's 1533-position model. The record is from RNAcentral.
AGAAUCAACGCUGGCGGCGUGCCUAACACAUGCAAGUCGAACGAGAAAGUGGAGCAAUCCACGAGUAAAGUGGCACACGGGUGAGUAACACGUGACUAACCUACCCUUGAGUGGGGAAUAACUGAGGGAAACCUUAGCUAAUACCGCAUAACACCUAUGGGUCAAAGGAGCAAUUCGCUUAAGGAGGGGGUCGCGGCAGAUUAGUUAGUUGGCGGGGUAAUGGCCCACCAAGACAGUGAUCUGUA